GAUGAAGAACGUAGCGAAAUGCGAUAAGUAAUGUGAAUUGCAGAAUUCAGUGAAUCAUCGAAUCUUUGAACGCACAUUGCGCCCCCUGGUAUUCCGGGGGGCAUGCCUGUCCGAGCGUCAUUACAACCCUCAAGCUCAGCUUGGUGUUGGGCCCCGCCGCCCCGGCGGGCCCUAAAGUCAGUGGCGGUGCCGUCCGGCUCCGAGCGUAGUAAUUCUUCUCGCUCUGGAGGUCCGGUCGUGUGCUCGCCAGCAACCCCCAAUUUCUUUCAGGUUGACCUCGGAUCAGGUAGGGAUACCCGCUGAACUUAAGCAUAUCAAUAAGCGGAGGA
Molecule: unclassified non-coding RNA, 329 nt
Filed under: soil metagenome
Description: partial contains 5.8S ribosomal RNA, internal transcribed spacer 2, and large subunit ribosomal RNA
Rfam family: 5.8S ribosomal RNA (bases 1-120)
Source: RNAcentral